CUUUUUCAAAGGCUACCAAAAAUCCAUUACCAUAGAGUAAUGAUCACACAUUAGCCGUCCAAAAAGUCAAGCUAGCUAUCAAAAGUAUUCCUUAUAUUUCAAUCCUUGUCAAAAGUAUCCUAGGAACACUUACACCAAUUCAAAGAAGCCUAGAAUUUGCUAAUAAAUUUCCAGAUGAAAUUCUAGAUAAGACAAGUUUGCAGUAUUUUUUAGGUAAUAUGUGGCUGAUUUUGUCAAAAGUAUAUGUUAAAUCUGUGCCCCUCGUUUUCAAAGGCUACAGAAAAAUCCAUUACCAUGGAGUAAUGAUCACAUUUUAGCCGUCCAAAAAAUUUCAAGAUGAUUUAAUUAAUAAAAAAUUUAUUUUGAAAAUAGACUGUAAAGUCUCAAAAGAUAUAAAAAUCUUACUUCAAAACAAAUCUUUGUAACAUGGCAGGCUAUUUUGUCCUGUUUUGAUCUUGAAAUGCUAUAUGUACAAGGGAAAUCAAAUAUUCUUGCAGAUUUUCUUACAAGAGAGUUAAUACAGAAAAAAGAGAGUUAUGAGAAUGUUCAAUAGUAAAAAAAGAGAGAAGAUAAAUUGGGGAGAUAUUAUCUAAGAAAUAAAGUGAAAUUUCAAAAACCAAAAGUUUUAAUUGCUUCCUCUGAAACUCCAUUUCAAAAGAAAAUACUAGAAAAAGGACUUCUAUUGCAUUAUUAUCAAUUGAUGAUUAUAUUCAAGGAUCAUCAUCAAGAAAAGAAGAACAAAUUUCUUCGUCUUCUUAAAAUAAUCAAAAUACUACCCUUUCAACCUUAGUAUUCAAAAAGCCUACUAAGACAAAAAUACUCUAGAACAAAUAAAACCUUCAAACUUUAACAAACUAUUUAAGGUUCUGGAAAAUUACCUCAAAUAAAUCCUCCAAACAACUUUCAAUAUUUUUUUAAAUCCGCAUAUAUUUCAGUUUUUGAAAUGAAAACAUCGUGGAUAAAUAGAUAUUCAUCUCUAAAUGAAUGUCUUCUAAACAUUUUUCCUCCAAAAUUUUAAUACAUGCCCUAUAAUAUCAAAAAAUUCAAGAAACUGGAUUAACUAUCAUAACUCAUACAAAAAAUCCUCAAAAUCCAAAACAAUUGAUUUUUCAAAAAUAAGUAUUCAAAGGGUGUUGUCAUAUGAAGACUAAGUUUUACUUUAGACCAGUGACUAAUUGUUGGCUCAUUUUAUUUAACCAAUAUUGUAAUUCAAGUUUUCCAAAAUGGUUUCAAACUUGAUUCCAUUGUUUUUGACUUGAUAAGAAAAUUUUACCUAGCCUCACUCAUCAAGGAUUCGAACAGUUAAAAUAGGAGGCCAAAACCUUUUUAAAACCUAAAGAAAAUUUUUUGUUCUAAGUCACAUUCAAUAUGAUAGUCUCAUGGAUGUUCUGCUAGGACUAUUUCAUUUAUGAAGAUCAACUCUCUGAAUAUCACGUUCAAAGAAUUAUUUGGAGAUUCAGAGUAAAACAAUGAUCAAAAUUCCAUGAAACUAACUGUUAUCCAAAAGCAGUAAAUUCGUGGAUUCAAGAACGAAAAAAUAUUGGCGCACCAAAAAUCUCAAAAAAAGAGUUAGACAAAAAUGCCGACUUUCUCACGGAAAAAUCAAGAUUAAUGACCAUGUUCAAUCAAUGUAAAACACAGGGGAAAUAGCGAUUAUUUCUGAAAAAAUUGCCAUCUUUGGCAGAAACUGCUUUAAAGAAAUCAAAAUCAAUUCCAGACAGUUCUUCUCAAACAAAUUCAAAAGACUAAGCCCAAAGCAAUGGAGAUAAUUGUUAUGGGUUAAAUAUUGAUGAACUACUUGCUCAAGAAGAAGCUCAAAAGAAUUCAAAAUAACUAUAUAAACCCAAUUAUUUGGAUGAACUUCAAAAAUAUCGAGCUCAUAAGAUAAAAGAUGCUCUAUUUCAAUUAUGCAUGCCACCUCAAAAGUUGUUUCUACAAGCAUUACCAAUAGCUAAAAGGAGAUAAAACUUUAAUAAAACAACUUUAUUAAAAUUGAUGUCCACUUUUCGAAAGUUGGAAAAGAAACAACGAACUUUCAAAAUCAUGGCAGACAAAGGACUAUUGCAAUUAUAUUGCUAAGAUUCUUCAAGCAAGUUCAAAAAAUUUUCAAGUUCGGUGUUCAAGAUUUCAAGUACAAAAGCAAAUCAAGACUCAAGAUCUCUCCAAGAGUUUUUAACGGGAUAAAAAUUUCUUCAAAAACUUUUGAGCGAGGUGAAAUUGUAGUGAGUUUCAUUACAAGUGCUAUGUCAAGGAAGAAAACUGGUUCAAGCAUAUGUGUGUGUGUGUGUGUGUGUGUAUAUAUAUGUAUGUAUGUAUGUACACCACACACACACACAUAUACUACACCUACACCAUGGAAGGCAACACUGGAAGAUAAUGAUGAGGGUCUAGAUUCAAGCUCUACCGCCACCAUGGAACCAUUUCACGGCGGGGUGUAUUGAUCUUCUUCUUCCUGGUAAUAAUGUGUAAAUCCACCAAGAAAAUGAGAUUUUUGUUCUAUCUUUUUUUUUUUCCAAUAUUCAAAAUGAUUUACAGUUCUGUCAGUUUCUUUUUCCAAUGCCCAUUUCACAAUCCUUAACAUACCAUUAAAUUGAUCCUUUGGGGACUGCAUAUCAAAGAGGCAAAGAAAUGGUGUGUAAAAGAAGGAUGGGGCAACAGUUGAAAUGAAUGUGAAAUAUGAAGGGGGAUGGUGGCUUUUCUGGUGUGUAAUAUAUCAAAUACAUUGUGCGCUUUCCACUUAUCAGACUAAAUGGACGGGUUCCAUGCAAGGACUAUCCACACAAAAACCCAUAGGACGGGGAAAACUUGCUGCCAAAAUAAUUAGAAUGGGGAUGGCAUUGUAACCAACUAUCAGGCAGUGGUUUUUUUUUAUCUACUUCAGUUACAACUUGAUAGUGAUGAGGGUCGAGUAAGGGAUUGGGUUAGCAUUCAUAGACUGGGGAUGAACGGCGGAAAUUCCCUUCUUUUUUCACAUGUGAAUUUAUCAUUUGGUCCAAUUCUGUAUUUGAUGCAGAAGAAAAUUAAGUUGUAUCAGUAGAUACCUUCACACAGUUGCAUGUCUAGUUCUUAAUUUCCAGGAAAUGGGUGUCUGAUUUUUAUUUAUGUGCUGUGGAGUUGUUUCCCUUUUGCCCACCUGUCAUGAGUUGUCAUUAGAGCACCAUGGAAUGAAAAAGCAGUUCAAAUACAAUUUUUUGAAGAUGAAAGUAUACUAAUGAGGCACUGUUGCAUAUUUCAACUGAGAAUACAAACUUUUUAUAACAUAGCUUCAAGCUUGACAGUGCAACAAACAGUUUACUCACAUUUGUUCUAGUUGUACUCCUAUGUUCAACUAAGUGUAGCAUUUCACUAUACUUUUUGGGGAAAAAAAGGUUUGGC
This 3375-nucleotide long non-coding RNA is filed under the name Olea europaea subsp. europaea. The record is from RNAcentral. Lineage: Eukaryota; Viridiplantae; Streptophyta; Magnoliopsida; Lamiales; Oleaceae.